AUUGAACGCUGGCGGCAGGCUUAACACAUGCAAGUCGAGCGGGGGAAAGUGCUUCGGUACUGACCUUAGCGGCGGACGGGUGAGUAAUACUUAGGAAUCUGCCUAUUAGUGGGGGGCAACAUUUCGAAAGGGAUGCUAAUACCGCAUACGCCCUACGGGGGAAAGCAGGGGAUCACUUGUGACCUUGCGCUAAUAGAUGUGCCUAAGUCGGAUUAGCUAGUUGGUGGGGUAAAGGCCUACCAAGGCGACGAUCUGUAGCGGGUCUGAGAGGAUGACCCGCCACACUGGGACUGAGACACGGCCCAGACUCCUACGGGAGGCAGCAGUGGGGAAUAUUGGACAAUGGGGGGAACCCUGAUCCAGCCAUGCCGCGUGUGUGAAAAAGGCCUUAUGGUUGUAAAGCACUUUAAGCGAGGAGGAGGCUUACCUAGCUAAUAUCUAGGCUAAGUGGACGUUACUCGCAGAAUAAGCACCGGCUAACUCUGUGCCAGCCGCCGCGGUAA
RNAcentral lists this ribosomal RNA (503 nucleotides) under uncultured bacterium. RNAcentral's name for it is "partial 16S ribosomal RNA". It matches the Rfam family "Bacterial small subunit ribosomal RNA", at positions 30 to 523 of the family's 1533-position model. The record is from RNAcentral.